CCUACGGGAGACAGCAGUGAGGAAUAUUGGUCAAUGGCCGUAAGGCUGAACCAGCCCAGUCGCGUGAAGGAAGAAGGAUCUAUGGUUUGUAAACUUCUUUUAUCGGGGAAUAAAGUUCUCCACGUGUGUAUAUUUGCAUGUACCCUAUGAAUAAGCCUCGGCUAACUCCGUGCCAGCAGCCGCGGUAAUACGGAGGAUGCGAGCGUUAUCCGGAUUUAUUGGGUUUAAAGGGUGCGUAGGUUUUUUUUUAAGUCAGCGGUGAAAGUUUGGCUCAACCAUAAAAGUGCCGUUGAAACUGGAAGACGUGAGUGUGUUUGAGGUAGGCGGAAUGCGUGGUGUAGCGGUGAAAUGCAUAGAUAUCACGAAGAACUCCGAUUGCGAAGGCAGCUUACUAAGCCAUAACUGACACUGAAGCACGAAAGCGUGGGGAUCAAACAGGAUUAGAUACCCUAGUAGUC
RNAcentral lists this ribosomal RNA (458 nucleotides) under uncultured bacterium. RNAcentral's name for it is "partial 16S ribosomal RNA". It matches the Rfam family "Bacterial small subunit ribosomal RNA", at positions 338 to 795 of the family's 1533-position model. The record is from RNAcentral.